RNAcentral lists this ribosomal RNA (411 nucleotides) under Papilio ulysses nigerrimus. Its description in RNAcentral is "partial 16S ribosomal RNA". The record is from RNAcentral. Lineage: Eukaryota; Metazoa; Arthropoda; Insecta; Lepidoptera; Papilionidae.
UUUUUGAUAAUGAUUUAAAGUCUAAUCUGCCCACUGAUNAAAUUAUUAAAGGGCUGCAGUAUUUUGACUGUACAAAGGUAGCAUAAUCAUUAGUCUCUUAAUUGGUGACUUGUAUGAAGGAUUGGAUGAGAUAUAUACUGUCUCUAAUUAAUUUAUAAAAUUUAAUUUUUUAGUAAAAAAGCUAAAAUAAUUUUAAAAGACGAGAAGACCCUAUAGAGUUUAAUAAUUUAUUUAAUUAUUAUUAAUAUAUAAAUUUUAAAAUUAAAAUUAAAUAAAUUAUUUUAUUGGGGUGAUAGAAAAAUUAAAUUAACUUUUUUUUUAUAUUAAACAUUAAUUUAUGAUUAUAUGAUCCAUUAUUAUUGAUUAUAAGAAAAAAUUACCUUAGGGAUAACAGCGUAAUUUUUUUUUUUA